CAGCGUCCAACUGACAGAGGGGUCGACUAAAGACAGCGUGAAGCCCAAGUCAAGCGAAACCCUAACGCCUGCACCAGUCGUUGCAGCCGAAACACUCUCAUUUGUCUUUGAGAUUCGAAAAGCAAUGGCGGAAAGAGCCGAAGCCCCUGUGAUAACCUUAGGAGGCAAGGGCUCAAAUCUCUCAUCAUCCUCACUAUACGCCAUCGCCACCGGCCUCGCUCGGGUGAGCAUAGACUCGUCUGCGCUCGAUAGGCUCGUCGCCGCCUCCUCUAAAUGCUGCCCGCCAUCUAUCAAUUACCGAAUCAAACUCUCCGAAAACCUGACCCUACCUGAAUCCCGCGCUUUCCUCACCGUCGCUAUUAACAAGCUCCUCCUUUAUGGUUCCUCAAACGUUCGUACGGUCCUUCCAGUUAGAAUCUCCGAAGUCCUGAAUUACAACUCUAAAACCCUCGAAUUCGAACCCCUCUAUUGUACCGAGGACGAGAUCUUUGUGCUGGAGAGAUCAUACGCAGCUUUGCACGGCAUUUCUGCCAUUUUGGACCAUGAGUUCACGGCGUUAUCGUCCAUUGUCGAUGCCGUUGCCGCGAUUUCGUGCGAGGCAGCCAGAGCCGACGUGGCAGCAUUCAAUUCGAUGGACUCGGGGGACGGGUUUUCGUCCAAGGAGGAAGUUGGGGUUGCCAGUGAUAUGAAGGUUUUACUCAAUGGGUCUAAGUUGGUGGGUAAGGUUGAGAGAGUGUGGUUCUCAAAAAUCCCCAAAGUUCACGGGAGUUGGAGGGAGAUAGUGAAGUUGGUGCACUCCAAGGUGCGAAUCGAGUUGAAUUCGGGCAUGAAGUUGGCGAAUGCGGAAUGUUCGGCAGUGCGGUCAGUGUUAUUGCCGCUAUAUGACUUAGGGAAGUGUAGCUUGAGCCGCGCUAAAUCGAAUUUGGAGUCGACAGAUGAUGGUGAUUUGCAGACGACUCUGGGGGACUUGUUUGGCGGGAAAUGCCCGAGGAGCGACAGUUUUACAGAUGGUUUUAAGUUGGUCUCGGAAUUGGGAUUAGAAGAGGAUCAUGAAAAAUUUGUGCACGAGGUGAAUGUGUUGUUGGGAAUGGUGUGGAAGAUUGUUGCGUGGGAGUCGAUAACGGGUUUCUUUGCUCUUGAGGGUGUGGAAUGGUUUGGAAAGAGUGAAAAGGGCGUUGACGCGAAUGGAGUAGGGAAUGUCAAGGCGGAGAAGAAGAGCGAGAAGAAGAAGAAGAAGGUGGUUUUGGGGAAAGGGACUAGUGUGAUUGUGCAAAUGAUUAAGGAUAGGUUGCAAAGUAAGGGAGGGGGUGGGAUUGGGGGUUUGGAGUUGUUGGAGAAAUGGGUAGAGGAUCUUUUGUUGUUUUUGGAUCCCAAGGACCAGGAUUUUGGCAGUUUGUUGCUGAGAGUGAAGGAGAUUGUGGAAAGCAAUGAAAGUAGAAGACUGCCCAAGCUUCCAAAGGGUACUCGUGAUUUUGCGAAAGAACAGAUGACAAUAAGAAAGAAAGCUUUUUCAAUUAUCGAGGAGGUCUUCGAGAGGCACGGUGCUACGGCCUUGGAUACUCCAGCUUUUGAGCUGAGAGAAACUCUUAUGGGAAAAUAUGGGGAAGAUUCAAAGUUGAUUUAUGAUCUUGCUGACCAGGGUGGAGAGCUUUGUUCUUUGCGAUAUGACUUGACGGUACCGUUUGCUAGAUAUGUGGCUAUGAAUGGUCUAACAUCAUUUAAAAGGUACCAGAUAGCUAAGGUUUACAGGAGGGACAACCCAUCUAAGGGAAGAUAUCGUGAAUUUUAUCAGUGUGAUUUUGACAUUGCUGGCCAAUAUGAAAAGAUGGGGCCAGAUUUUGAGGUCGUUAAAAUUUUGACUGAACUUCUCGAUGAACUUAACAUUGGAGACUAUGAGAUAAAAUUGAAUCAUCGAAAGUUACUCGAUGGAAUGUUGGAAAUAUGCGGAGUGCCGCCAGAAAAAUUCAGAACCAUAUGUUCUAGUGUUGACAAGUUAGAUAAGCAAUCUUUCGAGCAGAUAAAGAAAGAGAUGGUGGAGGAAAAGGGUUUAACUGUUGAGACAGCUGAUGCAAUUGGCACUUUUGUGAAGGAAAGGGGAUCCCCUUUGAGCUUAUUAUCUAAACUUAAGCUGGAGGGAAGCAAGUUCCUAGGACACAAUGGAUCAGUUGAUGCACUGAAUGAACUGGAUAUUUUAUUCAAAGCUCUUGAAAGAUCGAAGUGUAUUGGCAAAGUCGUUUUUGACUUGAGUCUUGCUAGAGGUCUUGAUUAUUACACUGGAGUUAUAUUUGAGGCUGUUUUUAAAGGGGGUACACAGGUUGGUGCAAUUGCUGCCGGUGGACGUUAUGACAACCUUAUAGGUAUGUUUGGCACAAAGCAGGUGCCAGCAGUUGGUGUCAGCCUUGGGAUUGAACGUGUAUUUGCUAUAAUGGAGCAGCUUCAGAAAGACCAGAACCAGACAACACGAGCUACAAAGACAGAAGUUCUAGUGAGUAUACUUGGGGAUGACCUGACUCAAGCUGCAGAACUGGCAACCGAACUGUGGAAUGCCAGACUGAAAGCAGAAUAUCUGGUCAAUAAAAGAGUGAUGAAGCACAUUGACCGUGCUAGAGAGUCGAGGAUCCCAUAUAUGGUAAUUGUGGGUGAGCGGGAACUGAAUGAAGGGAUUGUGAAGCUAAAAGACGUCGAGGCUGCUAAAGAAGAAGAAAUUCCUCGGAGCAAACUUGUGGAGGAACUCAAACGGCGGUUGAACCAAUGAAAAAUAAUAUUUGGCCAACCCACAACUCCAAAGCCAGACUUUUGUUCUCUGUAUUAAGACAAUGCUUUUGGAGGGCCUGUGCAAAAACACAAUGGGCCCGACCCAUUCGACAAAAUCGAUCCGACCAGCUCCGAUAAAAUCGAGUUGAAAUAGAUGCUCUCUCGCGCGAGCAAAAAGACCCUAGUGGAUGAAACCUCUCUUCGAAAGCCAUCUCUUGUGGUUCUCUCCUACUCUAUCGUGUGCUUCUCACACAUUCUCAUCCUCACUGAGACCGGAGCGUUCGAGAAUCUUGUGCUGAAACUCCAAUGACAAGUUGAAAUCCCCAGUGAGUUUGGAGUGCUCCAUGAACUGUUGAAACUUGACCUGGAGAUGCGACGGCGAGCGAUAGCAUGAGUAGUUGGCGAGAGGUAAACAGAUCUCGGGCGGCUCAUGAUGUAGCGAAUACGAGAACAAGGAAAAGAUAACGAUGGUGACUAGGUUGUAUUGGAGAUGGAGUCAGAGUUGAUGAACAUUCAACUGGGUUGAGCUAGGAGCCUUGGAUGAUAAUGAUAGCUAUGAGAGGGACCAAAUAGAGGGUCAAGAGAUGGGUUUUUUGGGAUUUCAGAUUUGGGUUCGAGAUUUGAGGUGUGUGUUUUGGAACUGCGAUGGGGCUAAUACAUAACAUUGUUUGACGUAUUCGAGAUUUGUGAUUUGAUGUAUUCGAGCCUUUGCUUGACGGUUUUAUUUCAAGCCUUUGCUUUAGUUUGUUGUAGAUAACAUUGUUUGCCUGCUUAUGUGUGCUUUAUUCAUGAUAUGUUGUGA
Molecule: RNA transcript, 3556 nt
Organism: Juglans regia (Persian walnut)
Lineage: Eukaryota; Viridiplantae; Streptophyta; Magnoliopsida; Fagales; Juglandaceae
Gene name: histidine--tRNA ligase, cytoplasmic
Exons: 8
Source: RefSeq, a predicted model, not a curated record